RNAcentral lists this ribosomal RNA (501 nucleotides) under uncultured bacterium. RNAcentral's name for it is "bacterial SSU rRNA". It matches the Rfam family "Bacterial small subunit ribosomal RNA", at positions 29 to 525 of the family's 1533-position model. The record is from RNAcentral.
AGCGAACGUUUGCGGCGGGCUUAACACAUGCAAGUCGAACGAGAAUCCCUUCGGGGAGGAAAGUGGCGCACGGGUGCGUAACACGUGGAUAACCAACCCAUUGGUUUGGGACAAUACCGGGAAACUGGUGCUAAUACCAGAUGUGUCGCAGCUGUCUUCAGGCGGUUGCGAGAAAGGCCCGCAAGGGUCGCCAACGGACGGGUCCGCGUCCCAUCAGCUAGUUGGUGAGGUAAUGGCUCACCAAGGCAAAGACGGGUAGCUGGUCUGAGAGGAUGAUCAGCCACACUGGAACUGAGACACGGUCCAGACUCCUACGGGAGGCAGCAGUGGGGAAUAUUGCGCAAUGGGCGAAAGCCUGACGCAGCCACGCCGCGUGAGCGAUGAAGGUCUUCGGAUCGUAAAGCUCUGUGGGGGGAGAAGAAGAAAGCCGGUGAAGAGCCGGCCCUGACGGUAUCCCCUUAGCAAGCACCGGCUAACUCCGUGCCAGCAGCCGCGGUAAAG